GUCUUAGAAGCUUUUUAGAAGCAGUGGUCUUGUAAACCAAAGAAAGGUUAUUACCCUAAGGCU
RNAcentral lists this transfer RNA (63 nucleotides) under Phoronis psammophila. RNAcentral describes it as "tRNA-Thr". Lineage: Eukaryota; Metazoa; Phoronida; Phoronidae. The record is from RNAcentral.